This is a long non-coding RNA of Cyprinus carpio (common carp), 1015 nucleotides long. NCBI's taxonomy places the organism in Eukaryota, Metazoa, Chordata, Actinopteri, Cypriniformes, Cyprinidae. The record is from Ensembl.
CCCGGGAAAGUCCAUGAAUGAGUUCAUAAUUCCUGUUUAAGGAAAAUUCGUUUCUUGUUCAAUUGUGAAUCGCAGAAAAAAAAAAGAAAAGAAAAACAGGUCAAGGGCGCGCGCUUAGAGAACCAGGUGCGGGCGCUCUCGUGGGCGCCAAACCACAUGAUACGAGCAGCCAGCCAUCCGAUCGCGGAAGUGCGACUUUUUUUGGACCGUGGAGGCGGGAGGGGGGGGUAGACUGGGGGAGGAAAGGAAGGCAGAGCCGAAAAGAAAAGUUUCAUGAUAUUACUCGCACUCGACGUGGAAAUGAGCCUGGCGAGACCAGUGCUUUAUUGGGUGUCUGGACCGUCUUUUGUUCCUCAAAUGUGAUAUUUUCAGCAGUUGAUCUGAACAGAGCAGGACCGGAAUCGAGGGGCAGAGAGGAGAGAAAGCGAUCGGAUUCAGCCGUGGCAUAUCUGAAGCAGUAUUCACCACUGAAGGCAGCAGUUUCGUCCCAGCCUGCCCUCUGUCUCCUGUCAUGAGGCUACAGUGUUGUCAUCCUGAAGGUUUGUUUUGGAAGAUACCUUUUGUGCAGAUGUUGGGUGAGAACUUUGGCCUUUACUAGAACAACAAGCAGCAGUGACAUGUAGGUGGUCAACUCUUGAGUCAGUCAACAGGAUGUUGGUUAGGUUUGCAACAAAGCAAGUAGUUCAGCUGCAUGUAGAAGAGCAUGGACAGAUAGUGAAGCCACAUGGAUGAUAUAAAGCGAUAAUCAAAAAAGCUUUACAUGUGGUGGGAAGUUGAAAUGUCAUGAUGCUUUUAUUACACACAAACCACAUGCAGCAUGCAUUGUCUUUUGUUUCUCUCUCUUCCUCUCUUUCUCACAACUUGAUUGGUUGUCUUGUACCCAUAAAAGUAUAGGGAGGGGCAUUUCCUGUUCAAUUCUGACCAUCUUCUGUGUUUCCUUCAACAGACACAAGCACACACAUGCAGACUAGCUUAAAAUCGGUCAGUAAAUAAUAAAAUAUUGAUUUAUUGUGCA